Molecule: transfer-messenger RNA, 335 nt
Filed under: bovine gut metagenome
Rfam family: transfer-messenger RNA
About the family: Bacterial tmRNA, also known as 10Sa RNA or SsrA, is named for its dual tRNA and mRNA-like properties.
Source: RNAcentral
GGGGUUGUCAAGGUUUCGACAGGGAACAUGAACCUUUAGAAGCUAUCCGGAGGCGGAGCACGUCACGCAGCAACAAAAAAUAAGCGAUAACAGAAGUUACGCAUUAGCAGCCUAGUCUGCUUCGUUUACCUCUAUUCACCUGUAGAUAGAGAGUAGGCGUCAAUUAUACAGGAAACGGUGAAGUAGAGCCUCGAUGCUUCAUACGUAUAAGAGGAUAGAAAGAUAUAAGACUUGUUUAUUGAACUUAUAUCAAUCGAAAUCCGAUCAAUAAACUAUGAUAGUAGAAGGAGAGCGGAUUGUUUUCUGGAAAGGGGUUCGAUUCCCCUCAGCUCCAU